Molecule: ribosomal RNA, 468 nt
Filed under: uncultured bacterium
Lineage: Bacteria
Description: partial 16S ribosomal RNA
Rfam family: Bacterial small subunit ribosomal RNA
Source: RNAcentral
GACGAACGCUGGCGGCGUGCUUAACACAUGCAAGUCGAACGGAAACGCCCUGCUUUUGUGGGGUGCUCGAGUGGCGAACGGGUGAGUAACACGUGAGUAACCUGCCCUUGUCUUUGGGAUAACUUCAGGAAACUGGGGCUAAUACCGUAUAGGAGCUCCUGUUGCAUGGUGGGGGUUGGAAAGUUUCGGCGGGUGGGGAUGGACUCGCGGCUUAUGAGCUUGUUGGUGGGGUAGUGGCUUACCCAGGCUUUGACGGGUAGCCGGCAUGAGAGGGUGACCGGGCACAUUGGGACUGAGAUACGGCCCAGACUCCUACGGGAGGCAGCAGUGGGGAAUAUUGCACAAUGGGCGGAAGCCUGAUGAAGAAACGCCGCGUGCGGGAUGACGGCCUUCGGGUUGUAAACCGCUUUCGCCUGUGACGAAGCGUGAGUGACGGUAAUGGGUAAAGAAGCACCGGCUAACUACGUG